Molecule: ribosomal RNA, 460 nt
Filed under: uncultured bacterium
Lineage: Bacteria
Description: partial 16S ribosomal RNA
Rfam family: Bacterial small subunit ribosomal RNA
Source: RNAcentral
CCUACGGGAGGCAGCAGUGAGGAAUAUUGGUCAAUGGGCGCGAGCCUGAACCAGCCAAGUCGCGUGAGGGAUGACGGCCCUACGGAUUGUAAACUUCUUUUGCAGGGGAGCAAGCGUGCGUUCGUGAACGCGCGUCGAGAGUACCUGGAGAAAAAGCAUCGGCAAACUCCGUGCCAGCGGCCGGGGUAUUACGGAGGAUGCGAGGGUUAUCGGGAUUUAUUGGGUUAAAGGGGUGCGCGGGCGGGAUGCCAAGUGAGCGGUAAAAAUGCGGUGCUCAACGGCGUCGUGCCGUUGAAACUGGCGUUCUUGAGUGGGCGAGAAGUAGGCGGAAUGCGUGGUGUAGCGGUGAAAUGCAUAGAUAUCACGAAGAACACCGAUUGCGAAGGCAGCAUGCCGGCGCCCAACUGACGCUGAGGCACGAAAGCGUGGGUAUCGAACAGGAUUAGAUACCCUUGUAGUC